AGACCCGAAACCCGGUGAUCUAGCCAUGGGCAGGUUGAAGGUUGGGUAACACUAACUGGAGGACCGAACCGACUAAUGUUGAAAAAUUAGCGGAUGACCUGUGGCUGGGGGUGAAAGGCCAAUCAAACCGGGAGAUAGCUGGUUCUCCCCGAAAGCUAUUUAGGUAGCGCCUCGUGAAUUCAUCUCCGGGGGUAGAGCACUGUUUCGGCUAGGGGGCCAUCCCGGCUUACCAACCCGAUGCAAACUGCGAAUACCGGAGAAUGUUAUCACGGGAGACACACGGCGGGUGCUAACGUCCGUCGUGAAGAGGGAAACAACCCAGACCGCCAGCUAAGGUCCCAAAGUCAUGGUUAAGUGGGAAACGAUGUGGGAAGGCCCAGACAGCCAGGAUGUUGGCUUAGAAGCAGCCAUCAUUUAAAGAAAGCGUAAUAGCUCACUGGUCGAGUCGGCCUGCGCGGAAGAUGUAACGGGGCUAAACCAUGCACCGAAGCUGCGGCAGCGAACGUAUCACCCAAGACAACUUUACGGAGUUGACGAUUGACGGAGCGAAGCGACGUCAAAGCGUUCAUUAAAGUCGAGUUGGCUUAGGGAUACGUUCGUUGGGUAGGGGAGCGUUCUGUAAGCCUGUGAAGGUGUGUCGUGAGGCAUGCUGGAGGUAUCAGAAGUGCGAAUGCUGACAUAAGUAACGAUAAAGCGGGUGAAAAGCCCGCUCGCCGGAAGACCAAGGGUUCCUGUCCAACGUUAAUCGGGGCAGGGUGAGUCGACCCCUAAGGCGAGGCCGAAAGGCGUAGUCGAUGGGAAACGGGUUAAUAUUCCCGUACUUGGUGUUACUGCGAAGGGGGGACGGAGAAGGCUAUGUUGGCCGGGCGACGGUUGUCCCGGUUUAAGCGUGUAGGUGUGUGUUCCAGGUAAAUCCGGUUCACUUUAACACUGAGGCGUGACGACGAGGCACUACGGUGCUGAAGCAACAAAUGCCCUGCUUCCAGGAAAAGCCUCUAAGCAUCAGGUAACACGAAAUCGUACCCCAAACCGACACAGGUGGUCAGGUAGAGAAUACCAAGGCGCUUGAGAGAACUCGGGUGAAGGAACUAGGCAAAAUGGUGCCGUAACUUCGGGAGAAGGCACGCUGACACGUAGGUGAAGUGAUUUACU
This 1152-nucleotide ribosomal RNA is filed under the name Salmonella enterica. RNAcentral describes it as "partial 23S ribosomal RNA". It matches the Rfam family "Bacterial large subunit ribosomal RNA", at positions 711 to 1771 of the family's 2925-position model. Lineage: Bacteria; Pseudomonadati; Pseudomonadota; Gammaproteobacteria; Enterobacterales; Enterobacteriaceae. The record is from RNAcentral.